Molecule: long non-coding RNA, 670 nt
Organism: Osmerus eperlanus (European smelt)
Lineage: Eukaryota; Metazoa; Chordata; Actinopteri; Osmeriformes; Osmeridae
Exons: 5
Source: RefSeq, a predicted model, not a curated record
AGGUGUGCAGGGAGCUCUCACCCCCCAUCCCCACCCUCCAGAAGGGACACAGGGCCCCCCAGUUCAUCCCCAGACCCCCCACCAUGGAUAGUAGACGCCCCACCACUCCCCCCGUCUAAGUGUUCUCCUAAAGGGCUCCAGUCCCAGUCCUAACCCUAACCUUCCCCAGCUGUUAGGAAGGAGCUGAGACCUGCAGCCUGUCUACCAGAGUACAAGAGGGAAAUCCUCCAUGAGUUGUCUGAAAUCUGCAGAAAGCUGCUCAGCCAACAGAGACGCGUGAAGGGACAGAUGAUCAGAGUGGGAGAAGCUGGACUCUCUUAUGAGUGACAGGUAACACCCUCCAGGACUGUAAGGACAAAAGAUGGCUACGGUGGGGUCUGUGUGUCCCCCCCACAGUACCGGUUUUCUUGACAGGCGGAAAGAGCGCCGCCAGGUGGACGUGGCCAGACUGCGUCGCAGACAGUGACAUCAGGCACGGCUACGAUUAUUUUGCCAUCCCAAAAACCAAAACAUUAUUUGAGGGAUCCCGGGGCAUGGAAAACAUACUCGGAAAGACCUGGGGCAUGGUCUUGGCCAUGACACAUCCUCCAAUCAGAGUCAGGCAGAGCGGGUCCAGGAGCUCCACAACCGAACCAGGAGACUGCCAGCUCUGAGGCUCCGUGGCAGGAGA